This 501-nucleotide ribosomal RNA is filed under the name Nesophrosyne montium. RNAcentral describes it as "partial 16S ribosomal RNA". The record is from RNAcentral. Lineage: Eukaryota; Metazoa; Arthropoda; Insecta; Hemiptera; Cicadellidae.
UAAGAAUUUAAAAGUCGAACAGACUUAUUAUUAAGAACACUGCCUCUUAAAAUUUUCUUAAUUCAACAUCGAGGUCGCAAAAUAUAAUAUAGAUGUGAACUCCCCAUUAAAAUUACGCUGUUAUCCCUAAGGUAACUUAAUCUUACUAUCCUUAAUUUAGGGAUCCAAAAUUACAUAAACAAAUGAAUACAAAAGCUAAAGUUAAUUAUUUAACUGCCACCCCAGCAAAAUAUAAAUUAAUAUUAAAAAAUAUGUACAUUAAAACCUAAUAAAAUUUAAUUAUAUAAAGUUCUAUAGGGUCUUAUCGUCCCAAUAAAUCAAUAAAGCAUUUUAACUUUAAAUUUAAAUUUUAACAUUUAAAAAAAUAAAAUAUAGUUCUCAUACAUCCAUUCAUACAAGCUUUCAAUUAAAAAACUAAUUACUAUGCUACCUUUGCACAGUCAAAAUACUGCAGCCAUUUAGAAAUAAACCAUAGGGCAGAAGAUACUUUUAAUAAAAACA